RNAcentral lists this ribosomal RNA (270 nucleotides) under uncultured archaeon. RNAcentral's name for it is "partial 16S ribosomal RNA". It matches the Rfam family "Archaeal small subunit ribosomal RNA", at positions 477 to 747 of the family's 1478-position model. The record is from RNAcentral.
CUGCGCCACAAGUGGCAGUCAGCAUUAUUGGGCCUAAAGCAUCCGUAGCCGGCGCUGUAAGUUUUCGGUUAAAUCUGUACGCUCAACGUACAGGCUGCCGGGAAUACUGCAGAGCUAGGGAGUGGGAGAGGUAGACGGUACUCGGUAGGAAGGGGUAAAAUCCUUUGAUCUAUUGAUGACCACCUGUGGCGAAGGCGGUCUACCAGAACACGUCCGACGGUGAGGGAUGAAAGCUGGGGGAGCAAACCGGAUUAGAUACCCGAGUAGUCC